AUUGAACGCUGGCGGCAUGCCUUACACAUGCAAGUCGAACGGCAGCAUGGGUGCUUGCACCUGAUGGCGAGUGGCGAACGGGUGAGUAAUGCAUCGGAACGUACCCGGAAGUGGGGGAUAACGUAGCGAAAGUUACGCUAAUACCGCAUAUUCUGUGAGCAGGAAAGCGGGGGAUCGCAAGACCUCGCGCUUCCGGAGCGGCCGAUGUCGGAUUAGCUAGUUGGCGGGGUAAAGGCCCACCAAGGCAACGAUCCGUAGCGGGUCUGAGAGGAUGAUCCGCCACACUGGGACUGAGACACGGCCCAGACUCCUACGGGAGGCAGCAGUGGGGAAUUUUGGACAAUGGGCGCAAGCCUGAUCCAGCCAUGCCGCGUGAGUGAAGGGAAGCCUUCGGGUUGUAAGCUCUUUCGGCUGGGAAGAAAUCGCAUCUCCUAAUACGGGGUGUGGAUGACGGUACCAGCAUAAGAAGCACCGGACGUAACU
RNAcentral lists this ribosomal RNA (483 nucleotides) under uncultured bacterium. Its description in RNAcentral is "bacterial SSU rRNA". It matches the Rfam family "Bacterial small subunit ribosomal RNA", at positions 29 to 502 of the family's 1533-position model. The record is from RNAcentral.